GGGGGUACUCGAGCGGCGAACGGGUGAGUAACACGUGAGUAAUCUGCCCUGGACUCUGGGAUAGCCACCGGAAACGGUGAUUAAUACCGGAUAUGACCACUACUCGCAUGGGUUGGUGGUGGAAAGUUCUUUCGGUCCAGGAUGUGCUCGCGGCCUAUCAGCUUGUUGGUGAGGUAAUGGCUCACCAAGGCUUUGACGGGUAACCGGCCUGAGAGGGUGACCGGUCACACUGGGACUGAGACACGGCCCAGACUCCUACGGGAGGCAGCAGUGGGGAAUAUUGGACAAUGGGCGGAAGCCUGAUCCAGCAACGCCGCGUGAGGGAUGACGGCCUUCGGGUUGUAAACCUCUUUCAGUACCGACGAAGCGAAAGUGACGGUAGGUACAGAAGAAGGACCGGCCAACUACGUGCCAGCAGCCGCGGUAAUACGUAGGGUCCGAGCGUUGUCCGGAAUUAUUGGGCGUAAAGGGCUCGUAGGCGGUUUGUCGCGUCGGGAGUGAAAACACCGGGCUUAACUCGGUGCUUGCUUUCGAUACGGGCAGACUAGAGGUAUGCAGGGGAGAAUGGAAUUCCUGGUGUAGCGGUGAAAUGCGCAGAUAUCAGGAGGAACACCGGUGGCGAAGGCGGUUCUCUGGGCAUUACCUGACGCUGAGGAGCGAAAGUGUGGGGAGCGAACAGGAUUAGAUACCCUGGUAGUCCACACCGUAAACGUUGGGCGCUAGGUGUGGGACCUAUUCCAUGGGUUCCGUGCCGUAGCUAACGCAUUAAGCGCCCC
This 776-nucleotide ribosomal RNA is filed under the name Nocardioides caeni. RNAcentral describes it as "bacterial SSU rRNA". It matches the Rfam family "Bacterial small subunit ribosomal RNA", at positions 83 to 870 of the family's 1533-position model. The record is from RNAcentral. Lineage: Bacteria; Bacillati; Actinomycetota; Actinomycetes; Propionibacteriales; Nocardioidaceae.